RNAcentral lists this ribosomal RNA (262 nucleotides) under uncultured prokaryote. RNAcentral describes it as "partial 16S ribosomal RNA". It matches the Rfam family "Bacterial small subunit ribosomal RNA", at positions 524 to 784 of the family's 1533-position model. The record is from RNAcentral.
UACGGAGGAUCCGAGCGUUAUCCGGAUUUAUUGGGUUUAAAGGGUGCGCAGGCGGGGGAUUAAGUCGGCGGUGAAAUUUUGCAGCUCAACUGUAAAAGUGCCAUCGAUACUGGUUUUCUUGAGUGUGGAUGAAGUAGGCGGAAUUUGUGGUGUAGCGGUGAAAUGCAUAGAUAUCACGAGGAACUCCGAUUGCGCAGGCAGCUUUACUAAACUACUACUGACGCUCAGGCACGAAGGCGUGGGGAUCAAACAGGAUUAGAUA